GGACCCGCACAAGUAGUGGAGCAUGUGGUUUAAUUCGAAGAUACGCGCAGAACCUUACCCAACACUUGACAUGUUCGUCGCGACUUUAAGAGAUUAAAGUUUUCGGUUCGGCCGGACGAAACACAGGUGCUGCAUGGCUGUCGUCAGCUCGUGUCGUGAGAUGUUUGGGUUAAGUCCCGCAACGAGCGCAAACCCUCACUUUUAGUUGCCAUCAUUUAGUUGGGCACUCUGAAAAGAACUGCCAGUGAUAAAGCUGGAGGAAAGGUGGGGGAUGACGUCAAGUCCUCAUGGCCCUUACGUGUUGGGCUAACACACGUGCUACAAAUGGUAUCUACAACAGGAAGCAAAAACAGCGAUGUU
Molecule: ribosomal RNA, 360 nt
Filed under: uncultured bacterium
Lineage: Bacteria
Description: bacterial SSU rRNA
Rfam family: Bacterial small subunit ribosomal RNA
Source: RNAcentral